Molecule: transfer RNA, 74 nt
Filed under: Ictidomys tridecemlineatus (thirteen-lined ground squirrel)
Lineage: Eukaryota; Metazoa; Chordata; Mammalia; Rodentia; Sciuridae
Description: Spermophilus tridecemlineatus (thirteen-lined ground squirrel) tRNA
Rfam family: tRNA
About the family: Transfer RNA (tRNA) molecules are approximately 80 nucleotides in length. Their secondary structure includes four short double-helical elements and three loops (D, anti-codon, and T loops).
Source: Rfam by way of RNAcentral
UGGGUCGUAGCUCAGUGUUGGAGAGCAUUUGCCUGACAUGCACGUGGCCUUGGGUUCAAUCCCUAGCACCACAC